RNAcentral lists this ribosomal RNA (457 nucleotides) under uncultured bacterium. RNAcentral's name for it is "partial 16S ribosomal RNA". It matches the Rfam family "Bacterial small subunit ribosomal RNA", at positions 355 to 803 of the family's 1533-position model. The record is from RNAcentral.
UGGGGAAUUUUGGACGAAUUGGGCGAAAGCCUGAUCCAGCAAUGCCGCGUGUGUGAAGAAGGCCUUCGGGUUGUAAAGCACUUUUGUCCGGAAAGAAAUCCUUGGCUCUAAUACAGUCGGGGGAUGACGGUACCGGAAGAAUAAGCACCGGCUAACUACGUGCCAGCAGCCGCGGUAAUACGUAGGGUGCAAGCGUUAAUCGGAAUUACUGGGCGUAAAGCGUGCGCAGGCGGUUUGCUAAGACCGAUGUGAAAUCCCCGGGCUCAACCUGGGAACUGCAUUGGUGACUGGCAGGCUAGAGUAUGGCAGAGGGGGGUAGAAUUCCACGUGUAGCAGUGAAAUGCGUAGAGAUGUGGAGGAAUACCGAUGGCGAAGGCAGCCCCCUGGGCAAUACUGACGCUCAUGCACGAAAGCGUGGGGAGCAAACAGGAUUAGAUACCCUGGUAGUCCACGCCCU